This 1255-nucleotide ribosomal RNA is filed under the name Alloeorhynchus sp. RNAcentral describes it as "16S ribosomal RNA". The stretch from base 826 to 1181 matches the Rfam family "Bacterial large subunit ribosomal RNA", at positions 2077 to 2643 of the family's 2925-position model. Lineage: Eukaryota; Metazoa; Arthropoda; Insecta; Hemiptera; Nabidae. The record is from RNAcentral.
AAUAAUAUUUUAAUAAUAUUUUAGGUUUAUGAUUGUUUUGUAAGAAAUAACUUUUAUAUUUAGUAGUGUUUAAAGAAAAAUGUUUAUAGUAAUUUAUAGUGAAAAGUACAGUAAUGGAUAAUUAUAUUUUAUGUGAAAGAAUAAUUAAUUUUAGUACCUUUGGUAUCAGGGUUUAUUAAUUGUAUAUGAUAUAUAUCAUAUUCCCGAAAUUAAAGGAUCUACUAUAAAAUGAUUGUUUAUGUUUCAAUAUAAAAUUAAAUUUUAUAGUAGAAAUUAUAUGUUAUUCAACUUUAAUAUAUCUGGUUUUUUAAUAAAAGUAUUUAAUACUUGACUUGUGUAUAUAAGGUUUCUUUAAAAAUAAAUUUUAUACAAGUCUUAUAUAAGGGGGGAUAAGCUCUCUUAUAUUUUUAUAACUAUAUUUAUAAACAAAAUAUUGUAGGUUUAAUAACAUCCAUCAUUUAUUUCGUUAUAGUAAAGUUUUAUUUAUAUUUUAUUUAUUUUUAGUUUAAAUAUUUAUUAAAAUGUUUUAUAUAAUAUAUUUGUAUAAGUAAUAAUGAUAAAAUUAGUAGUAUAUUAUAUAUAAUAUAGUAACUCGGCAAAUAUUACCUUCGCCUGUUUAACAAAAACAUGUCUUUUUGAAUAUAAUAUGAAGUCGGGCCUGCCCAAUGAUUUUAUUUAAUGGCCGCAGUAUCCUAACUGUGCAAAGGUAGCAUAAUCAAUUGUCUUUUUAUUGAAGACUAGAAUGAAAGGUUUGACGAGAGGUGAGCUUUCUUUAUUAUAAAAAAUGAAUUUUACAUUUAAGUUAAAAGGCUUAAAUAUUAUUAUAGGACGAGAAGACCCUAUAGAGCUUUAUAAAUAUUAAAUAUUGAUUAAUUAGAAUAUAAUAAAAUAUAUUUAUACUUUAUUUUGUUGGGGUGACAUAUAAAUUUAUUUAACUUUAUAUUAUUAAUUUUCAUAAAUUAGUGUGUUAUUGAUCCAUUUUUAAUGAUUAUAAGAUUAAGCUACCUUAGGGAUAACAGCGUAAUUUCUUUGGAGAGUUCUGAUCGAUAAAGAAGUUUGCGACCUCGAUGUUGGAUUAAAAUAAGUUACAGGUGUAGCAGCUUGCUAACUAAGUCUGUUCGACUUUUAAAUUUUUACAUGAUCUGAGUUCAAACCGGCGUGAGCCAGGUUGGUUUCUAUCCUUAAUAUAAUUAAUAUACUUUAGUACGAGAGGACCAGGUAUAUGGAAUAUUUUUAUAUAUAUUGAAUAUUUAUU